This 437-nucleotide long non-coding RNA is filed under the name Pan troglodytes (chimpanzee). RNAcentral's name for it is "long non-coding RNA NONPTRT000870". The record is from RNAcentral. Lineage: Eukaryota; Metazoa; Chordata; Mammalia; Primates; Hominidae.
AACUCCUGGCCUCAAGCCGUCUUCCUCAGCCUCCCACGUUGCUGGGAUGAAGAUGUGAGCACCACACCUGGCCCCAAACUCUGCUUUCAUAGAUUUCACCUGAUUGGACCAGACCAACCUGGGUCAUCUUUGUUUUUUUGUUUUGUUUUGUUGAGACAGAGUCUCACUCCCCGUCUCAAAAAAAAAAAAUUAGCUGGGCAUGGUGGCGCAUGCCUGUAAUCCCAGCUACUCAAGAGGCUGAGGCAGAAGACUCUCUUGAACCCAGAUGCAGAGGUUACAGUAAGCCAAGAUCACACCACUGCACUCCAGCCUGGGCAGCAGAGCUAGACACCGUCUCAAAAAAAAAAAAACAGGGGUAGAUCCUGGGUCUUCCACUAACUCAUAAAACCUCUCUUCCGGUACCAGCAGCAUAAGCCAGUCUUACCUGCAAAACAAGG